AUUGAACGCUGGCGGCAGGCCUAACACAUGCAAGUCGAGCGGUAGAGAGGUGCUUGCAUCUCUUGAGAGCGGCGGACGGGUGAGUAAUGCCUAGGAAUCUGCCUGGUGGUGGGGGAUAACGUUCGGAAACGGACGCUAAUACCGCAUACGUCCUACGGGAGAAAGCGGGGGGAUCUUCGGACCUCGCGCCAUUAGAUGAGCCUAGGUCGGAUUAGCUAGUUGGUGAGGUAAUGGCUCACCAAGGCGACGAUCCGUAACUGGUCUGAGAGGAUGAUCAGUCACACUGGAACUGAGACGACGGUCCAGACUCCGUACGGGAGGCAGCAGGUGGGGAAUAGUUGGACAAGUGGGCGAAAGCCUGAUCCAGCCAUCGCCGCGUGUGUGAA
RNAcentral lists this ribosomal RNA (386 nucleotides) under uncultured bacterium. Its description in RNAcentral is "bacterial SSU rRNA". It matches the Rfam family "Bacterial small subunit ribosomal RNA", at positions 30 to 409 of the family's 1533-position model. The record is from RNAcentral.